ACUCAAAUGAAUUGACGGGGGCCCGCACAAGCAGCGGAGCAUGUGGUUUAAUUCGACGCAACGCGAAGAACCUUACCUGGGCUUGACAUGUGAGCGACCGGUGCGGAAACGUACCUUCCCUUCGGGGCGCUUUCACAGGUGGUGCAUGGCUGUCGUCAGCUCGUGUCGUGAGAUGUUGGGUUAAGUCCCGCAACGAGCGCAACCCCCGUCGCAUGUUGCCAGCAUUUAGUUGGGGACUCAUGUGAGACUGCCGGUGACAAACCGGAGGAAGGUGGGGAUGACGUCAAGUCAUCAUGCCCCUUAUGUCCAGGGCUACACACGUGCUACAUUGGCGCGUACAGAGGGCUGCGAUACCGCGAGGUGGAGCGAAUCCCUUAAAGCGCGUCUCGGUUCGGAUUGCAGGCUGAAACCCGCCUGCAUGAAGGUGGAGUUGCUAGUAAUCGCGGAUCAGCAUUGCCGCGGUGAAUACGUUCCCGGGCCUUGUACACACCGCCCGU
RNAcentral lists this ribosomal RNA (497 nucleotides) under uncultured bacterium. RNAcentral's name for it is "bacterial SSU rRNA". It matches the Rfam family "Bacterial small subunit ribosomal RNA", at positions 899 to 1397 of the family's 1533-position model. The record is from RNAcentral.